AACCGACUAUCGUUGAAAAGUUAGCGGAUGACCUGUGGAUCGGAGUGAAAGGCUAAUCAAGCUCGGAGAUAGCUGGUUCUCCUCGAAAGCUAUUUAGGUAGCGCCUCAUGUAUCACUGUAGGGGGUAGAGCACUGUUUCGGCUAGGGGGUCAUCCCGACUUACCAAACCGAUGCAAACUCCGAAUACCAGCAAGUGUCAGCACGGGAGACACACGGCGGGUGCUAACGUCCGUCGUGAAAAGGGAAACAACCCAGACCGUCAGCUAAGGUCCCAAAGUUAUGGUUAAGUGGGAAACGAUGUGGGAAGGCUUAGACAGCUAGGAGGUUGGCUUAGAAGCAGCCACCCUUUAAAGAAAGCGUAA
RNAcentral lists this ribosomal RNA (362 nucleotides) under Aureoumbra lagunensis. RNAcentral's name for it is "partial Bacterial large subunit ribosomal RNA". It matches the Rfam family "Bacterial large subunit ribosomal RNA", at positions 777 to 1137 of the family's 2925-position model. The record is from RNAcentral. Lineage: Eukaryota; Pelagophyceae; Sarcinochrysidales; Sarcinochrysidaceae.